Equus caballus (horse) is the source of this 858-nucleotide non-coding RNA. The record is from RefSeq and is a predicted model, not a curated record. Lineage: Eukaryota; Metazoa; Chordata; Mammalia; Perissodactyla; Equidae.
AACAAUGACAAUUACCUCCCCUCCUUAAAGAAAGCACAGCCGUCCUAUAUGGAAGUUCAGAAGGGAAGCCAUCUGCACGCCGUAAAUUAGUCUGAGGGAUGCCAUAGGGAAGAGAGAAGAGAUAAAUAGUGGUGCCAACUAGAGAGGUUCCUUCUGAGUUGGCUCUUUAUAACAGGGCUUGCUCUGUGUAACUAUCUAUCUAAGAACCGGGUGUGUUCAGAAUAUCAAAAACAACCACAUAUAUAGUAGCUGUAAAAACUUCCACAGCCCAAAUGGGACAGCUCGGUCAGCGCAGUGUUACUCAAGCACGGCCCACACACUGCCUGUGAGGACUGGGGCCAGCUGCACGACAGUGGGGGAGUACACAGCCUGGCAAGGUCGCCUGGGCCCAGGGGAGAAAAAUCAAGGACAGGGUUUCCAACACCUGAACUUAAAAAAAUGUUUGCUAACCUGGUGCCUCCACUUACUGUGCCCACAGGUCAGCUCCUGCCACAGAAACUUUGAAUCUGGCUCCUCUCCCAGUUCCCAAAAGAGGGGUCUUUUUCUUCCAGCCCUGGAAGGAACUUCAGUCUCACAGGGAUAACACAAAUGAACAAGACCCAUCAUAUCCCGUGUUGGUUAGAGUGUAGGAAAAGAGGCUCCAUAUACCCCACGGAUGGGAGUGAAAACCGAUACAGCUCUUUCGUAGGGCAUCAGAAAAUACGCAUGAUCUUCAGCCUAACAGGUACUAACUCAGAGACCUGAUCGGUUCCAAGAGCGGGGAAAGCAGCUGUCACAUCAGCCCGAAGCUUUCUCCUGCAGAAAGUACACCAAUACCUGGUAUGAAUGCUGCCUGGAUGGAGUUUAAUAAAUACUGAG